UCUCUCUCUCUCUCUCUCUCUCUCUCCGUACAAAGCGCCAACUGUGUCUUCCAACUCUGCCUCCAGUUUCAGAAAAUGCUUUGAACAUCACCAUCUCUUGUUAUUUGCUUCUAACCUGACAAGAGUUUUUAGGAUAAAUCUGCAAAAAGCAUGGCAUCAUCGGAGAAUUUGGCCAGUUUUGAACCAUUUCUCUUUAGACCCACCUUUACUGACUCAUGG
RNAcentral lists this unclassified non-coding RNA (219 nucleotides) under Hevea brasiliensis (rubber tree). Lineage: Eukaryota; Viridiplantae; Streptophyta; Magnoliopsida; Malpighiales; Euphorbiaceae. The record is from RNAcentral.